RNAcentral lists this long non-coding RNA (979 nucleotides) under Monodelphis domestica (gray short-tailed opossum). RNAcentral describes it as "lncRNA (ENSMODG00000038733.1)". The record is from RNAcentral. Lineage: Eukaryota; Metazoa; Chordata; Mammalia; Didelphimorphia; Didelphidae.
UUUUUUUUUCUGUUUUCUGAACAUACUCAAUCAUUUUCAUUUCAGUUAUGAGAAUGGUAUAAACUGAUAAUAUCAGACCAGUGUCUGAUUUCUUUGUGGUUAAAAAUUCCAGAUAUGACCAACCAUAAGGAGUUAAUGAUUUACCCACCUGGGGCUUGAAAGGGUUACUUUCCCAUGGAAAGAUGCCCAUUAAUAAAUACUGUAUUUCUGUAGCUUCUACAACUAUCUCAAACUUAUGAUGUUAUCUAUGUAUCUUGAAAAAGAAUGACCUUAUUGCUAUUCCCUUAGAAGAGUCCACCUACCCCAAAAUUACACUGGAAAAAAGGGAAACUAUAUAGUCUAAGAGGGAAGCAAGGAUGGCUUGUACUUUUCACCUGCUUUUCCCAGUUGUGUCAGUUCCAUGACCCUAGAAUAAGAGAGGGAAAAUAGUGGUGGACAUGGAAAAUCAACAAUUUCUCAAAGAUUAAUCUAUUAACUAAAGUUAAUAGAUUUUUUAAUUAAUUUUUUUAAUAAUUUUAAUUAAUUUUUUAAUUAAUUAACUGCAGUUUUGAUGGAAGUAGAACAAAAAGAACACACUAUUAGGACAUAUGAAUGUACUAAAAAUAGGCUCCUAGAAUGUAUGACAAACAUGAAUCUCUCAAACAUGAUAAAAUUUCUCUACUAUCACUGAUCUAUAAAUCCAAGAUAAUUUUGACUUGCCAAAUAAUAUUAUUUUCUUUUUCUUCCUUCCUUCCUUCCUUCCUUAUUUCCUUCCUUCCUUCCUUCCUUAUUUCCUUCCUUCCUUCCUUCCUUAUUUCCUUCCUUCCUUCCUUAUUUCCUUCCUUCCUUCCUUCCUUCUUUCCUUCCUUCCUUCCUUCCUUCUUUCCUUCCUUCCUUCCUUCUUUCCUUCCUUCCUUCCUUCUUUCCUUCCUUCCUUCCUUAUUUCCUUCCUUCCUUCCUUCCUUCCUGUCCUUAUUGAUCAAUCAAUCAGUCAAUCAAU